This is a ribosomal RNA of Ictidomys tridecemlineatus (thirteen-lined ground squirrel), 91 nucleotides long. The record is from Ensembl. Lineage: Eukaryota; Metazoa; Chordata; Mammalia; Rodentia; Sciuridae.
UGUCUUGAUCAUACCACCUUGAAGUUGCCUGAUCUUGUCUGAUCUCAGAAGUGCAGCAGAGAGGGGCCUGGUUAGUGCUUAAAUGAGAGAA